RNAcentral lists this transfer RNA (75 nucleotides) under Turicibacter sanguinis. RNAcentral describes it as "tRNA-OTHER". It matches the Rfam family "tRNA". From Rfam's summary of the family: Transfer RNA (tRNA) molecules are approximately 80 nucleotides in length. Their secondary structure includes four short double-helical elements and three loops (D, anti-codon, and T loops). Further hydrogen bonds mediate the characteristic L-shaped molecular structure. tRNAs have two regions of fundamental functional importance: the anti-codon, which is responsible for specific mRNA codon recognition, and the 3' end, to which the tRNAs corresponding amino acid is attached (by aminoacyl-tRNA synthetases). tRNAs cope with the degeneracy of the genetic code in two manners: having more than one tRNA (with a specific anti-codon) for a particular amino acid; and 'wobble' base-pairing, i.e. permitting non-standard base-pairing at the 3rd anti-codon position. Lineage: Bacteria; Bacillati; Bacillota; Erysipelotrichia; Erysipelotrichales; Turicibacteraceae. The record is from RNAcentral.
GUCUCGAUAGCUUAAUGGUAGAGCAAAGGCAAUCCAAAACCUUGUGUAUUGGUUCAAAUCCAAUGAGAGACUCCA